RNAcentral lists this ribosomal RNA (59 nucleotides) under Steinernema kraussei. RNAcentral's name for it is "partial 28S ribosomal RNA". The record is from RNAcentral. Lineage: Eukaryota; Metazoa; Nematoda; Chromadorea; Rhabditida; Steinernematidae.
CAAGCAAGACUACCCGCUGAACUUAAGCAUAUCAGUAAGCGGAGGUAAAGAAACUAACU